AGCGAACGCUGGCGGCAGGCUUAACACAUGCAAGUCGAACGCCCCGCAAGGGGAGUGGCAGACGGGUGAGUAACACGUGGGAACGUACCCAUUGGUUCGGAAUAACUUGGGGAAACUCAAGCUAAUACCGGAUAAGCCCUUAUGGGGAAAGGUUUACUGCUGAAGGAUCGGCCCGCGUCUGAUUAGCUAGUUGGUGAGGUAAUGGCUCACCAAGGCGACGAUCAGUAGCUGGUCUGAGAGGAUGAUCAGCCACACUGGGACUGAGACACGGCCCAGACUCCUACGGGAGGCAGCAGUGGGGAAUAUUGGACAAUGGGGGCAACCCUGAUCCAGCCAUGCCGCGUGAGUGAUGAAGGCCUUAGGGUUGUAAGGCUCUUUUACCCGGGACGAUAAUGACUGUACCGGGAGAAUAAGCCCCGGCUAACUUCGUGCCAGCCGCCGCCGUAA
This 447-nucleotide ribosomal RNA is filed under the name uncultured bacterium. RNAcentral describes it as "partial 16S ribosomal RNA". It matches the Rfam family "Bacterial small subunit ribosomal RNA", at positions 29 to 523 of the family's 1533-position model. The record is from RNAcentral.